UACGGAGGGGGCAAGCGUUGUUCGGAAUUACUGGGCGUAAAGGGCGCGUAGGCGGCCUGCUGCGUCGGGUGUGAAAGCCCCGGGCUCAACCUGGGAGGUGCACUUGAUACGGGCGGGCUGGAAUCCGGGAGAGGAUGGUGGAAUUCCCAGUGUAGAGGUGAAAUUCGUAGAUAUUGGGAAGAACACCGAUGGCGAAGGCAGCCAUCUGGACCGGUAUUGACGCUGAGGCGCGAAAGCGUGGGGAGCAAACAGG
This 253-nucleotide ribosomal RNA is filed under the name uncultured bacterium. RNAcentral's name for it is "partial 16S ribosomal RNA". It matches the Rfam family "Bacterial small subunit ribosomal RNA", at positions 524 to 776 of the family's 1533-position model. The record is from RNAcentral.